CCGCGANUAGCUCAUUACANUAGCCGUUGUUUCUUGGAUCCUCAAUUUACUUGGAUACCUGUGGUAAUUCUAGAGCUAAUACAUGCGACUAAGGGCCGAACUCACGUGACGCUUGCAUUUAUUAGAUCAAGACUAACCGGCUUCGGCCGUUAACUUGGUGACUCUGAAUAACUCAGCUGAUCGCACGGUCUAGUGCCGGCGACAUAUCUUUCAAGUGUCUACCUUAUCAACUGUCGAUGGUAGUUUAUGUGACUACCAUGGUUGUAACGGGUAACGGAGAAUCAGGGUUUGACUCCGGAGAGGGAGCCUGAGAAACGGCUACCACUUCUAAGGAAGGCAGCAGGCGCGCAAAUUACACAAUCUCAGCACGAGGAUGUAGUGACGAAACAUACCGAGGCGAUGCCCUUUCGGGUGUCGUCAUUGGAAUGAGUCGAAUCUAAAAAAUUCGGCAAGGAUCUAGUGGAGGGCAAGUCUGGUGCCAGCAGCCGCGGUAAUUCCAGCUCCGCAAGUGUAUAUCUAUGCUGUUGCGGUUAAAAAGCUCGUAGUUUGAUUCGCGUACUUAGCACGCAGUGUGGCCUUUCGGCUACUACUGUGAUGCGGUACAUUAUCGUCAGUUUGUCGUUGAUGCUCUUCAUUGGGUGUCAGCGGCGGCUGUCAAGUUUACUUUGAACAAAUUAAAGUGCUCAAUACAGGCGUUUCGCUUGUAUAGUUCUGCAUGGAAUAAUAGAAUAGGACUUACGUUCUAUUGUGUUGGUUUUCAGAACGAAAGUAAUGAUUAAGAGGGACAGACGGGGUCAUUCGUACUGCCACGUUAGAGGUGAAAUUCUUGGAUCGUGGCAAGACGAACUACUGCGAAAGCAUUUGACAAGAAUGUUUUCAUUAAUCAAGAACGAA
Molecule: ribosomal RNA, 894 nt
Filed under: Halomonhystera disjuncta
Lineage: Eukaryota; Metazoa; Nematoda; Chromadorea; Monhysterida; Monhysteridae
Description: SSU rRNA
Rfam family: Eukaryotic small subunit ribosomal RNA
Source: RNAcentral